This 433-nucleotide ribosomal RNA is filed under the name uncultured bacterium. RNAcentral describes it as "partial 16S ribosomal RNA". It matches the Rfam family "Bacterial small subunit ribosomal RNA", at positions 29 to 507 of the family's 1533-position model. The record is from RNAcentral.
AACGAACGCUGGCGGCAUGCCUAACACGUGCAAGUCGAACGAAGCCUUCGGGCUUAGUGGCGCACGGGUGCGUAACGCGUGGGAAUCUGCCCUUGGGUUCGGAAUAACAGUUAGAAAUGACUGCUAAUACCGGAUGAUGUCUUCGGACCAAAGAUUUAUCGCCCAAGGAUGAGCCCGCGUCGGAUUAGCUAGUUGGUGAGGUAAAGGCUCACCAAGGCGACGAUCCGUAGCUGGUCUGAGAGGAUGAUCAGCCACACUGGGACUGAGACACGGCCCAGACUCCUACGGGAGGCAGCAGUGGGGAAUAUUGGACAAUGGGCGAAAGCCUGAUCCAGCAAUGCCGCGUGAGUGAUGAAGGCCUUAGGGUUGUAAAGCUCUUUUACCCGGGAUGAUAAUGACAGUACCGGGAGAAUAAGCCCCGGCUAACUCCGUG